This 72-nucleotide transfer RNA is filed under the name Ictidomys tridecemlineatus (thirteen-lined ground squirrel). RNAcentral's name for it is "Spermophilus tridecemlineatus (thirteen-lined ground squirrel) tRNA". It matches the Rfam family "tRNA". Rfam says of the family: Transfer RNA (tRNA) molecules are approximately 80 nucleotides in length. Lineage: Eukaryota; Metazoa; Chordata; Mammalia; Rodentia; Sciuridae. The record is from Rfam by way of RNAcentral.
GGCAAUAUAGCUUAGCGGUAGAACACUUGCCUAGCAUGCAAGUAGCCCUGGGUUCAUUCUCCAGCACUCCCA